Molecule: ribosomal RNA, 274 nt
Filed under: uncultured Rikenellaceae bacterium
Lineage: Bacteria; Pseudomonadati; Bacteroidota; Bacteroidia; Bacteroidales; Rikenellaceae
Description: partial 16S ribosomal RNA
Rfam family: Bacterial small subunit ribosomal RNA
Source: RNAcentral
UAGUUGCCAGCGGGUCGAUGCCGGGGACGUCUAGCGGAACUGCCAGCGUAAGCUGCGAGGAAGGUGGGGAGUGACGUCAAAUCAGCACGGCCCUUACGUCCAGGGCUACACACGUGUUACAAUGGCCAGUACAGAGGGCAGCCACCCCGCGAGGGGGCGCUAAUCCUAAAAGCUGGUCCCAGUUCGGAUCGGAGUCUGCAACCCGACUCCGUGAAGCUGGAUUCGCUAGUAAUCGCGCAUCAGCCACGGCGCGGUGAAUACGUUCCCGGGCCUU